Molecule: long non-coding RNA, 215 nt
Organism: Alosa alosa (allis shad)
Lineage: Eukaryota; Metazoa; Chordata; Actinopteri; Clupeiformes; Clupeidae
Exons: 3
Source: RefSeq, a predicted model, not a curated record
UACAGAGCCAGAAGGACUCGUCAUAUGAGAUAACAAGGGCUGAAGCCAGUUGGAUCUAAAGUGCCAAGUUAUUCGUUAUCAGGUGUUCCUGGACAGUUUUGAAACCGAGAUGUCUGAACGCCUCAAAUAAUCAGCAGUAAAGACAACAGAGACAAAUUCUCUAAUACCAAGGUCAAUGCAUUUGACUGCUGUCCAGCCCCGGGUUGCCACUGAAA